This 460-nucleotide ribosomal RNA is filed under the name uncultured bacterium. RNAcentral's name for it is "partial 16S ribosomal RNA". It matches the Rfam family "Bacterial small subunit ribosomal RNA", at positions 338 to 795 of the family's 1533-position model. The record is from RNAcentral.
CCUACGGGAGGCAGCAGUGAGGAAUAUUGGUCAAUGGGCGCAAGCCUGAACCAGCCAAGUCGCGUGAGGGAAGACGGCCCUACGGGUUGUAAACCUCUUUUGCCGGGGAGCAAGCCUGAGCACGUGUGCCCAGGCGGAGAGUACCCGGCGAACAAGCAUCGGCUAACUUCGUGCCAGCAGCCGCGGUAAUACGGGGGAUGCGAGCGUUAUCCGACUUUAUUGGGUUUACGGGUUGCGCAGGCGGGCUGUUAAGACGGCGGUAAAAAUUCAGGGCUCAACCCUGGCGAGCCGUCGGAACUGGCAGCCUUGAGUGGGCGAGAAGUAAGCGGAAUGCGUGGUGUAGCGGUGAAAUGCAUAGAUAUCACGCAGAACGCCGAUUGCGAAGGCAGCAUACCGGCGCCCGACUGACGCUGAGGCACGAAAGCGUGGGGAUCGAACAGGAUUAGAUACCCUAGUAGUC